RNAcentral lists this ribosomal RNA (1250 nucleotides) under Anabaena sp. 2a. RNAcentral describes it as "bacterial SSU rRNA". It matches the Rfam family "Bacterial small subunit ribosomal RNA", at positions 137 to 1415 of the family's 1533-position model. Lineage: Bacteria; Bacillati; Cyanobacteriota; Cyanophyceae; Nostocales; Nostocaceae. The record is from RNAcentral.
UGUGGGUCACACUGGAACGGUGGCUAUACCGGAUGAGCCGAAAGGUAAAAGAUUAUAUUGCCUAGAGAUGAGCUCGCGUCUGAUUAGCUAGUUGGUGUGGUAUGAGCGCACCAAGGCGACGAUCAGUAGCUGGUCUGAGAGGAUGAUCAGCCACACUGGGACUGAGACACGGCCCAGACUCCUACGGGAGGCAGCAGUGGGGAAUUUACCGCAAUGGGCGAAAGCCUGACGGAGCAAUACCGCGUGUGGGAGGAAGGCUCUUGGGUUGUAAACCUCUUUUCUCAAGGAAUAAGAAAGUGAAGGUACUUGAGGAAUAACCAUCGGCUAACUCCGGGCCACCACCCGCGGUAAGACGGAGGAUGCAACCGUUAUCCGGAAGGAUGGGGCGUAAAGGGUCCGCAGGUGGCAUUGUGUGUCUGCUGUUAAAGAGUGAGGCUCAACCUCAUAAAAGCAGUAGAAACUACAAAGCUAGAGUGCGUUCGGGGUAGCAGGAAUUCCUGGUGUAGCGGUGAAAUGCGUAGAGAUCAGGAAGUACACCGGUGGCGAAAGCGUGCUACUAGGCCGUAACUGACACUGAGGGACGAAAGCUAGGGGAGCGAAUGGGAUUAGAUACCCCAGUAGUCCUAGCCCGUAAACGAUGGAUACUAGGCGUGGCUUUGUAUCGACCCCGAGCCCGUGCCGGAGCUAACGCGUUAAGUAUCCCGCCUGGGGAGUACGCACGCAAGUGUGAAACUCAAAGGAAUUGACGGGGGCCCCGCACAAGCGGUGGAGUAUGUGGUUUAAUUCGAUGCAACGCGAAGAACCUUACCAAGACUUGACAUGUCGCGAAUCUUCCUGAAAGGGGAGAGUGCCUUAGGGAGCGCGAACACAGGUGGUGCGUGGCUGUCGUCAGCUCGUGUCGUGUGAUGUUGGGUUAAGCCCCGCAACGAGCGCAACCCUCGUUUUUAGUUGCCAGCAUUAAGUUGGGCACUCUAGAGAGACUGCCGGUGACAAACCGGAGGAAGGUGGGGAUGACGUCAAGUCAGCAUGCCCCUGUACGUCUUGGGCUACACACGUACUACAAUGCUAUGAACAAAGGGCAGCUACACAGUCGAUGUGACUGCUAAUCUCAGAAAUCGUAGCUCAGUUCAGAUCGAAGGCUGCAACUCGCCUUCGUGAAGGAGGAAUCGCUAGUAAUUGCAGGUCAGCAUACUGCAGUGAAUUCGUUCCCGGGCCUUGUACACACCGCCCGUCACACCAUGGAAGCUGGU